RNAcentral lists this long non-coding RNA (670 nucleotides) under Androctonus crassicauda. Lineage: Eukaryota; Metazoa; Arthropoda; Arachnida; Scorpiones; Buthidae. The record is from RNAcentral.
UAUAAAUGGUUGUCUUUUUGGCCAUACAAUAAAUUCUUAGCAUAAAAAAUGUAUUGUGGAUUAUAAUGCAUAGUAAUUAAUAUAAUUAAAGAUUAUUUAUCUUCCCUUGGUAUUGUCUGCUAUUUUUAUUAUGGAUAACCAUAUGAAGAAUUCAAACUUAAUGUUGUGUAAGUGAGAAUCAGUCUGAACUGCCCAUAUGGAAACUUUUGUCCUCUGGCUAACUACAUAGAAGAUAGAAUAGGCAGAGAAAAAUAGAUUAAAUCAUUUUUCAACAAUAGAUAAUUAAAUCACAUUGCAGAAAACAAGGUAACAGGAGAAUUACGAUGUUUAGAGAGAGAGGACAGAGUCAGAGUUGGGUUGUUGGUAUUGGACAAAUGACAAGUGUUAGACAGAGAGAUAGUUGGUCUUUUGAAAAUGUAGGAGAAAAAGGAUGUUCCUUCCCAUCAGUGAUGUCCAAUGACAACAAAGGAGCAAAGAUGGCAUUUGUCCUAAAAAAGAAACAUGGAGAAAAUAAAGAAAAUAGAAGAAAAACUUUCUCUCCCAGUUAUGCCCGCACAACCCAAAAUCAAACAGCUCUUUCUUGUUCAAGAGUAAAAUUAUAACUCUUCUUAUUUUAUAUAUAGCUCAUUUACUUCCAUAACAAAUAAUGCUAGUUGUAUUUAUGUUGCAC